GUUUAGUUGAUGAUAUUCCUGUGUUGGGAGGAGAAGUUGUCAUAAAAGAGGGUAUGUACAUGUAUAGGGAAAAAUUAUACUUCUUGUCAUAGGAUAUGACUUUCAAAUAGAUGGCACACCAAAUAGGAUUCAUGUAAAGAAAGUAAUUAGAAUUAUAUUAUGUCUUAUUUACUUGCAUACUUUUUACAACACUUCUAAGGAAUCACCAAAGAGUUAUUCAGCUUUCUCGUCUCCUUUUUCGGCUACAAAUACUACUUCAACCGUUGAAGACAAACUCUAUAAAAUUGAAAGGAAGGUGGAUAUAAUUUUGAAGUACAUUAAACAAACA
Molecule: long non-coding RNA, 328 nt
Organism: Amphimedon queenslandica
Lineage: Eukaryota; Metazoa; Porifera; Demospongiae; Haplosclerida; Niphatidae
Exons: 3
Source: RefSeq, a predicted model, not a curated record